GGAACCCUGAUCCAGCCAUGCCGCGUGUGUGAAGAAGGCCUUAUGGUUGUAAAGCACUUUAAGCGAGGAGGAGGGUACUGGUAUUAAUACUACCAGCUACUGGACGUUACUCGCAGAAUAAGCACCGGCUAACUCUGUGCCAGCAGCCGCGGUAAUACAGAGGGUGCGAGCGUUAAUCGGAUUUACUGGGCGUAAAGCGUGCGUAGGCGGCUAAUUGAGUCGGAUGUGAAAUCCCCGAGCUUAACUUGGGAAUUGCAUUCGAUACUGGUUAGCUAGAGUGUGGGAGAGGAUGGUAGAAUUCCAGGUGUAGCGGUGAAAUGCGUAGAGAUCUGGAGGAAUACCGAUGGCGAAGGCAGCCAUCUGGCCUAACACUGACGCUGAGGUACGAAAGCAUGGGGAGCAAACAGGAUUAGAUACCCUGGUAGUCCAUGCCGUAAACGAUGUCUACUAGCCGUUGGUCUCUUUGAGGGAUUAGUGGCGCAGCUAACGCGAUAAGUAGACCGCCUGGGGAGUACGGUCGCAAGA
RNAcentral lists this ribosomal RNA (525 nucleotides) under Salmonella enterica subsp. enterica serovar Alachua. RNAcentral describes it as "bacterial SSU rRNA". It matches the Rfam family "Bacterial small subunit ribosomal RNA", at positions 377 to 893 of the family's 1533-position model. Lineage: Bacteria; Pseudomonadati; Pseudomonadota; Gammaproteobacteria; Enterobacterales; Enterobacteriaceae. The record is from RNAcentral.